RNAcentral lists this ribosomal RNA (250 nucleotides) under uncultured prokaryote. RNAcentral's name for it is "partial 16S ribosomal RNA". It matches the Rfam family "Bacterial small subunit ribosomal RNA", at positions 524 to 774 of the family's 1533-position model. The record is from RNAcentral.
UACGUAGGGGGCAAGCGUUGUCCGGAAUUAUUGGGCGUAAAGUGUGCGUAGGCGGCAAAUUAAGUCUGAGGUGAAAGUGCGGGGCUCAACCCCGUGAUGCCUUGGAAACUGAUUAGCUAGAGUGUGGUAGAGGCAAGCGGAACUCCAUGUGUAGUGGUAAAAUGUGUAAAUAUAUGGAAGAACACCAGUGGCGAAGGCGGCUUGCUGGGCCAAGACUGACGCUCAGGCACGAAAGCGUGGGGAGCAAACA